RNAcentral lists this ribosomal RNA (318 nucleotides) under uncultured soil bacterium. Its description in RNAcentral is "bacterial SSU rRNA". It matches the Rfam family "Bacterial small subunit ribosomal RNA", at positions 26 to 372 of the family's 1533-position model. The record is from RNAcentral.
AGAACGAACGCUGGCGGCAUGCCUAAUACAUGCAAGUCGAACGAACACUUCGGUGUUAGUGGCGCACGGGUGCGUAACGCGUGGGAAUCUGCCCUUGGGUUCGGAAUAACAGUUGGAAACGACUGCUAAUACCGGAUGAUAUCGAAAGAUCAAAGAUUUAUCGCCCAGGGAUGAGCCCGCGUAGGAUUAGCUAGUUGGUGAGGUAAAGGCUCACCAAGGCGACGAUCCUUAGCUGGUCUGAGAGGAUGAUCAGCCACACUGGGACUGAGACACGGCCCAGACUCCUACGGGAGGCAGCAGUAGGGAAUAUUGGACAAU